Molecule: ribosomal RNA, 485 nt
Filed under: uncultured bacterium
Lineage: Bacteria
Description: bacterial SSU rRNA
Rfam family: Bacterial small subunit ribosomal RNA
Source: RNAcentral
GAUGAACGCUAGCGGCAGGCCUAACACAUGCAAGUCGAGGGGCAGCACAGGUAGCAAUACUGGGUGGCGACCGGCGGAUGGGUGCGUAACGCGUAUGCAACCUACCAUUGAUUGGGGCAUAGCCCGAAGAAAUUCGGAUUAAUACUCCAUAAUAUUCAUCAAAGGCAUCUUUUAUGAAUUAAAGCUUUUGCGAUCAAUGAUGGGCAUGCGUGACAUUAGUUAGUUGGUGAGGUAACGGCUCACCAAAACGAUGAUGUCUAGGGGUUCUGAGAGGAUUAUCCCCCACACUGGUACUGAGACACGGACCAGACUCCUACGGGAGGCAGCAGUGAGGAAAUAUUGGUCAAAUGGACGCAAGUCUGAACCAGCCAUGCCGCGUGCAGGAUGACGGCCCUAUGGGUUGUAAAACUGCUUUUCCACGGAAGAACCCUCCGACGUGUCGGAGACUGACGGUACCGUGGGAAUAAGCAUCGGCUAACUCCGUG